Molecule: long non-coding RNA, 1193 nt
Filed under: Mustela putorius furo (domestic ferret)
Lineage: Eukaryota; Metazoa; Chordata; Mammalia; Carnivora; Mustelidae
Description: lncRNA (ENSMPUG00000028426.1)
Source: RNAcentral
UGCAUUUCAUAAGGUAGAGGAGGACGGUCUUCCUGAGGCCAGAACAGACUUCAGGGGACCAUGCAUACCAUACUCCGCUCCAGCCUAACUGCCUUUGGAAAAGGCCAGAACAAAAGGCUUGAAUCAAGAAUCAUUCAGGAACAGAAAUUUCAGGGGCUGUGGAGAACUGGAACAAUGGUGGAGAUCAAGCUGGGAGUCAGAAGCCCGUGGUUCAUGAGGUGCCUCAUUCUGGAGUGGAGAGGAAACCAUUUUUUGAGGAUAAAGGUGUUUCAAAGAAAUCACCCUGCCUGCAGAAGGAGGCCACGUGUUCCUCAAACAUCACCUGAAUGUUCAAGGAAGUACAUGAAGCUGUGUAAAGAAAGUUAAAAGGCUGAAAUCAACAAAGGCCUUGUAAGAAACAAACAAUAUUGCAAACAAAUAAAAAUACAUUUGAGUUAUAUUCAGGCCAAAAGGUGAUGAGUCACUGUGGUUGCUUGAGUUGGAUAAUGAAAUAUUACCUGGCACAGGAAUAAAAGCAAAUGAGUCUUUAAAGAGCAGAGGUGGCUCAGUAAAGGGUAGAUACAGAAUAAGUAUAAGCCACUGAAGAUUAAACUUGUUUUCUUUAAGGUCUUUAGUUCAGGAAAAAUGUUUUGGAACUUUGGUAACUUACAAUGUCUCACAUUUUGAGUUUCAGGAUGCAGAGUUCAGAUUGAAUUAUAAUACAACUGGGUAAAUUAGUAUGCAGUUUAAUGAUCAUAUCAAAAUAUUAACUAUUAAUGAAUUGAAAGAAGAUUUCUUGUAGGACAGAGAAGUUAAACUGUAACAUCCUGUUGGAAAGGACCAGGGCUGUCUUAUUCCGGCAUAUCCCCUGUGGUUAGUGCUGUGCUCAACUCAUAAUCAUCAUAUGAAAAGUAUUUAUUUAAUGGGUGAGUACACAAAUUGUAUAGAAGGAUAUUCCAAAGGACUCAGUCUUACACUGUUCAGGAUUUCAAGUCACUGACAUAUACGUAAACCUCACAUCCAUGUUUAUCAAGUGCAUGGAUGACCCCAAACCCUCCCAUAAGGGAACACAUAUCAGUUGGGUGACCGUGUUGAGAUACAACAGCGUUUUUGCAGACUGAAGAAAUAAACAAUGAUCCCAAGAAAAGAAAAUUGGAUAGAUGCAUCCGGAGCUCCAAAAUCAAUUUCAAAGUUACCACAGAGGUAUAAAUGAC